Molecule: transfer RNA, 70 nt
Filed under: Loxodonta africana (African savanna elephant)
Lineage: Eukaryota; Metazoa; Chordata; Mammalia; Proboscidea; Elephantidae
Rfam family: tRNA
About the family: Transfer RNA (tRNA) molecules are approximately 80 nucleotides in length. Their secondary structure includes four short double-helical elements and three loops (D, anti-codon, and T loops).
Source: Rfam by way of RNAcentral
GCAUGGGUGGUUCAGUGGUAGGAUUCUAGUCUGCCACGCUGGAGGCCUGGUUUAAUUCCCGGCCCGUGCA